CCCUUAGAUGUUCUGGGCCGCACGCGCGCUACACUGAUUCAUGCAACAAGUCUUAACCUUGGCCGAUAGGUCUGGGUAAUCUUUGAACGCUGUUCGUGAUUGGGAUAGACCUUUGCAAUUAUGGGUCUUCAACGAGGAAUUCCUAGUAAACGCAAGUCAUCAGCUUGCAUUGAUUACGUCCCUGCCCUUUGUACACACCGCCCGUCGCACCUACCGAUUGAAUGGUCCGGUGAAAUCUCGGGACGGCGGCUUGGUCGCUUGCGUCCGACUGCUGAAACUUGAUUAAACCAUAUCAUUUAGAGGAAGGUGAAGUCGUAACA
This 320-nucleotide ribosomal RNA is filed under the name uncultured eukaryote. RNAcentral's name for it is "partial 18S ribosomal RNA". It matches the Rfam family "Eukaryotic small subunit ribosomal RNA", at positions 1470 to 1796 of the family's 1831-position model. The record is from RNAcentral.